This is an RNA transcript of Magnolia sinica, 2578 nucleotides long. RefSeq lists it as uncharacterized. The record is from RefSeq and is a predicted model, not a curated record. Lineage: Eukaryota; Viridiplantae; Streptophyta; Magnoliopsida; Magnoliales; Magnoliaceae. The transcript is spliced from 8 exons.
UGUUUAGGUGAAAAUCCACCUUCGAAUGGUGCAUAGAGCAACACAAACCCUUCAAUUCACUACAAGAAAGGUGGGAAUUCCCGACGCAUUUUUACCGGCAGCCCGUACUGUGGGAAACCAUGGUCGGCGAAAUAAGCGCUUACGCUCUCUCUCUCUCUCUCUCAUAAUAAGAAGUUGUUUUCUCCCCUUUUUAACUUCUUACGUCAAAGGCUCUCCUUUUCCAAACCCUAACCCACUUCUUCUCCAAACCCCUGAUCGUUGCUAUCUCCAAACCCUAACCCUCCUCUUCUCCAAACUUUCGCAAUCGCCUGCCACACCACCAUCACAAGCAGAGUACCAUGUCUAUUCUACUUUCUACUCUAAACCCUAACCCAUCAACCGAUAUGGAUUCUUGAUGUAAAUCUCGCUAUUCCGAGUUCUCUGGUUCAAUUUCAGUUGAAUCGAGCUCGAAUGGCUGAGCGAAAGCUCUAUCGUUCGAUUAUAAGAAGAGUUACAGGGGAUUUUGGGAGAAAUCUGCAGAUUUUGAGUUCCUUUUGCAUUGGUUUUGGCCGUAAUGGAGAAUCCAGAGGUUUGAAAUUGGGAUUUGUGAGAGAAACUUAGAGAUUCGAGGAGUUUCUGUGUAGCGAAGCUCUCUGUGGCUUUAAUGGCGGACCUGCAGCAUCCUUGUGUAGUUCUUUGAAGGAAAUGCUUGCAGAUUUCCGAUCUCUCGUUGCUUCUUUUAAAGUUUCCUGUAUCAGUUGUGCAAAGGAGCUGCUCAUUGUCACAACCAUGGAGUGCUACACAGGUUACCUUUUUGUUGGUUAUUCACUGAAGGGCUUCUUCUGUGCCAGAAACAAUGUUUAUACCCAUCCUGUAUGUAGAUGAUUAUGCUUGAAGGUGCAAAGGCAACAACAGAAACUGUAGAUGCUCCGAGGACAGGAGCAUCGGCAAUAAAGUCUAUCCAGAUCUCUUUGGUACAAAAGGUGAAGCAUGGGUUCGGCAUGAGGGUUCCAAGAUCAAUGUUGAGGUUCUUCAAUCAGUGAGAAAUUUCCAUGUAUGAACUACUACUCGGCAUGAAAAAAAGGAACUGCAAGUCAGGUUUGUGGUAUUUCUAUUCCUUUAUAUACACAAUUUGGUUUUGAUUGCCCCGUAUGCAUCUGAUAUGAUUUCCGUUUUAGUUGCUCUUUGGCUCUUUCAUUAGCUGUGUCUAUAGAAACCAUCUGCCGGUGAGAUUCAAAUGUUGAUACCAUAACCUACAAAUGUGUGAGAUUUCCUAGUAGCUUAAUUUAGCACUAUUUGGAUAUGUAAAUUAACUUAUGAACAGAAUGUUUUGCUCAAUGUUGUUUAAAUCCUACAGUUUUCUAUUUGGAUCCUAUGAUCUAAUUGAAAUCUCAGAGAGGGCUGAAUUGCCUUUAGGGAAGAUGAUGAAAUGUCUGAAAUCCCAAAGAACGAAGAAAACGUCUGAUGGACAGCCCGGAUCUCUUACAAUGUGCUAUGUUGGAACAUGGGCAGCAUCUGGGUUGUGGUGACUGUAGAUGGUGGAUGCAAGAAUGCAUUGUUUCUACAUUUGAAUGUGUCUAGAUGCCCAAUAGAAAUGUCAUUUAUGUAUAGACUGUUGAGGUUGCCUAUGCUGUUUCUAAUCCGGAUGUGUUUGAGUGGUUUUGCUUCUUUGCAGCUGCAGUCAUCGGGAUGGAAGACAGAACGUCUUCUAUCGCUUUCGAUUGUUUGGAGGGCACAUUGGAUUCAUGGUCCUUCGAAUGAAAAGAUCAACUAGGUAAGCCUCUGCUCUGUUAUAUCUCCUUGUGCGUUCGAUCCUUGCUCAUGCCCCCAAUGCAGAAUAGAGGAAUUAUAUCCUGCACAGCAGUACACGACUGUUUCUUGCUGCAUGGCCCACUUUUCAGCAAUCCAUAACAUUGAGCUGAUGGCCCCACUAGGAAUUGAGACACCCAAGAAAUAUUCCAGAAUGGGUGAUCAUACAAUGCUACGAGGGCAGCAGAGUCCCGUUACUUGGAAAAUCAAUGUUCUACUUGUUUCAAGUAGGACGUGAGACAAGCGAACUAUUACUUUGGUGGAAUUGAGCACCCAUAUGGAUUUCAAGAUGAGAGAAUGAAGCUCUUGCAAGGCCUUGUUCCUGGCUGUGACAAUGUGACUGGGAAGGCUCUUAUGUUGGAUGAAAUUAUCAACUAUGUCCAGUCAUUGCAAAAUCAAGUAGAGUUCCUCUCCAUGAAGCUUGCCUCUGUGAAUCUUGUCUUUUACGACUUCAGCGUGGAUUUAGAUGACCAUAUGUCCAAAUCAGAGGUACAAACAUCACCACCUCCAUAACUGAUGUUCUCUCACCCAUGUGUUUUUGGUGCAUGCACCUCUUCUCUUCUACAAAGAGAAUGUCUCACACGCUACUAGCUGUAUAUGAGAAAAACACACAACUGGCCUAGUGUGGGGUCCACCUCCUUAUGUAUAUGGCAUCUAAGCCGUCCACAGGAGUGGACCACUAUUAAAGUGGGAUACCCAAAAACCAUUAGGCUGGAUUUCGAGGUCUCUAGGUGAUUGUCUGUUCUCUUCUAUGGUGUGGCCCAGUAGAUGAUGUGACCAUUCUAACGUU